RNAcentral lists this ribosomal RNA (254 nucleotides) under uncultured bacterium. RNAcentral's name for it is "partial 16S ribosomal RNA". It matches the Rfam family "Archaeal small subunit ribosomal RNA", at positions 474 to 727 of the family's 1478-position model. The record is from RNAcentral.
UACCGGCAGCACAAGUGGUUUCCACGAUUAUUGGGCUUAAAGCGUCAGUAGCUGGCUGGAACCGUCUUAUGUGAAAUAUCCGUGCUUAACGCGGAUGCGUGCAUAAGAUACCUUCCGGCUAGGGAGUGGGCGAGGUGUGGAGUACUUAUGGGGUAGGGGUAAAAUCCUGUAAUCCUAUAAGGACUACCGGUGGCGAAGGCGCCACACCAGAACACAUCCGACAGUGAGUGACGAAGGCUAGGAGAACGAAUCGG